Molecule: microRNA precursor, 100 nt
Filed under: Marmota monax (woodchuck)
Lineage: Eukaryota; Metazoa; Chordata; Mammalia; Rodentia; Sciuridae
Source: RNAcentral
AGUGGGAUAGCUGGGUCAAAUGGUGGCUUCAUUCCAUUUCUAAAGAAUCUCCAUACUGCUUUCCACAGUGGUGGCAUCAAUUUGCAGUCCCACCAGCAAU